Molecule: long non-coding RNA, 578 nt
Filed under: Mytilus galloprovincialis (Mediterranean mussel)
Lineage: Eukaryota; Metazoa; Mollusca; Bivalvia; Mytilida; Mytilidae
Source: RNAcentral
CGCUUAAAGAUGUUUAUUCAGAACAAUAACUUAUAUCCAAAAAAAACCUCAGAAAUAUAGGAACUACCACCAAUGAAGGUUCUAAAAAACUAUAGGUGAUACUUAUAAUGCUUAAAGCAAUGCUCUGUUUAUCUUUUUUUUUUUAUCGUUAAGACUUGAAAUUGAACAAAAAAUAAUGGAAUUAUCCUUUAACGAAAACAUCUCUUGAAAAGCCAUUCGUUAAUGGCUAAAUGCUAUUUAUUUCUGAAAUCGGCUUUUGGUACACAUAAGAUAUUUUGUUGGUUAACAGAUAUUUUUUUUACGCCGGACAGCGAUUAAAACCUCACCAAGGAAACUUAAUUUUAUUUCGCUGUUCUGAGUGUUCAAGAUGUUACAUGCAGCUAAAAUAUUGGUAAAAUAAUUUAAAAAAAUACUGGUCUGUAUAAAAUGUACGCAAAAGUAGAAGAAAGAAAGCAACUUGAAUGCACUCCUGGCCUCAGAUAAGUACAUUAAACAAAUGACAGCUAACACGAAAUGAGUGACAAUAAAAGCGCUAUUCCAACACUUGCUUCAUCAAAAACAAAAUCUAUAUUCAAGAC